GGAAUAUUAAGCUAAGAAAGAAGCUUCUAACUUCAGUCUAAGCGGUUCAACUCCGUUUAUAUUCCU
This 66-nucleotide transfer RNA is filed under the name Lauridromia dehaani. RNAcentral's name for it is "tRNA-Ser". Lineage: Eukaryota; Metazoa; Arthropoda; Malacostraca; Decapoda; Dromiidae. The record is from RNAcentral.